UUAAUUAAUGAGCAAGGGAUUUUUCUGAGUUGAAAAAUCCCAGCAGGGAAGCCGGUUCAAAUCCGGCGCGGUCCCGCCACUGUAAGGGGGAGUUUGUGCCAUAUCCACUGAGGAAACUUGGGAAGGAGGCACUAAACGAGGAACCUAAGCCAGGAGACCUGAUUGCUCAUAUGCUUUACU
This 180-nucleotide non-coding RNA is filed under the name Desulfosporosinus lacus. The record is from RNAcentral. Lineage: Bacteria; Bacillati; Bacillota; Clostridia; Eubacteriales; Desulfitobacteriaceae.